GACGAACGCUGGCGGCGUGCUUAACACAUGCAAGUCGAACGGAAAGGCCCUGCUUUUGUGGGGUGCUCGAGUGGCGAACGGGUGAGUAACACGUGAGUAACCUGCCCUUGACUUUGGGAUAACUUCAGGAAACUGGGGCUAAUACCGGAUAGGAGCUCCUGCUGCAUGGUGGGGGUUGGAAAGUUUCGGCGGUUGGGGAUGGACUCGCGGCUUAUCAGCUUGUUGGUGGGGUAGUGGCUUACCAAGGCUUUGACGGGUAGCCGGCCUGAGAGGGUGACCGGCCACAAUGGGACUGAGAGACGGCCCAGAAUCCUACGGGAGGCAGCAGGGGGGAAUAUUGCACAAUGGGCGGAAGCCUGAGGCAGAAACGCCGCGAGCGGGAUGACGGCCUUCGGGUUGUAAACAGCUGUCGCCUGUGACGAAGAGUGAGUGACGGUAAUGGGUAAAGAAGCACCGGCUAACUACGUG
This 468-nucleotide ribosomal RNA is filed under the name uncultured bacterium. Its description in RNAcentral is "partial 16S ribosomal RNA". It matches the Rfam family "Bacterial small subunit ribosomal RNA", at positions 28 to 507 of the family's 1533-position model. The record is from RNAcentral.